UACUACAGCCAUAUCACCCUGCAACCCAAGCUAAGCAGGGCUGAGCCUGGUCAGUACAUGGAUGGGAGACCACAUGGGAAAAACUAGGUUGCUGUUGAAA
Molecule: ribosomal RNA, 100 nt
Filed under: Danio rerio (zebrafish)
Lineage: Eukaryota; Metazoa; Chordata; Actinopteri; Cypriniformes; Danionidae
Source: RNAcentral